GGAGAGAUGGUUCAGCGGUUAAGAGCGCCGACUACUCUUCUGGAGGUCCUGCGUUCAAAUCCCAGUACCCACA
RNAcentral lists this transfer RNA (73 nucleotides) under Mus musculus (house mouse). RNAcentral describes it as "tRNA-Ser". The record is from RNAcentral. Lineage: Eukaryota; Metazoa; Chordata; Mammalia; Rodentia; Muridae.